Molecule: ribosomal RNA, 500 nt
Filed under: uncultured bacterium
Lineage: Bacteria
Description: partial 16S ribosomal RNA
Rfam family: Bacterial small subunit ribosomal RNA
Source: RNAcentral
GACGAACGCUGGCGGCGUGCUUAACACAUGCAAGUCGAACGGGUCUGCCCUGUUUUUUGCGGGGUGGGUCAGUGGCGAAUGGGUGAGUAACACGUGAGUAACCUGCCCCUCACUUCUGGAUAACCGCUUGAAAGGGUGGCUAAUACGGGGUGUUCUGGCUGUGCCGCAUGGUGUGGCUGGGAAAGAUUCACUUUUGUGGUGUUUUGGUGGGGGAUGGGCUCGCGGCCUAUCAGCUUGUUGGUGGGGUGAUGGCCUGCCAAGGCUUUGACGGGUAGCCGGCCUGAGAGGGUGGGCGGUCACACUGGGACUGAGAUACGGCCCAGACUCCUGCGGGAGGCAGCAGUGGGGGGUAUUGCACAAUGGGCGGAAGCCUGAUGCAGCGACGUCGCGUGAGGGAUGGAGGCCUUCGGGUUGUGAACCUCUUUCGCCGGUGAAGAAGGUCCUGCUCUUUGGGGUGGGGUUGACGAUAGCCGGGUUAUGAAGCGCCGGCUAACUACGUG